CUAGAAAAAAGUUGAUUUUUAGUUAAGAUUGAUUCUGUCUUUUUUGAUUGGCAAAUUUUGAUAAUUUUAUAUACAAGUUUUUGCGUGGUAAAUUU
RNAcentral lists this ribosomal RNA (95 nucleotides) under Clavigralloides acantharis. RNAcentral's name for it is "partial small subunit ribosomal RNA". The record is from RNAcentral. Lineage: Eukaryota; Metazoa; Arthropoda; Insecta; Hemiptera; Coreidae.